Pongo pygmaeus (Bornean orangutan) is the source of this 2353-nucleotide long non-coding RNA. RefSeq lists it as uncharacterized. The transcript has 3 exons. NCBI's taxonomy places the organism in Eukaryota, Metazoa, Chordata, Mammalia, Primates, Hominidae. The record is from RefSeq and is a predicted model, not a curated record.
UUUAGAUCAUAGAGUUACAGGCACUUUGGGUUUUCUUUCUUUGUAUUUUCAAAUUUUCUAUAAUGAUUAUGUGUUGUUUUUCUACAUGAUUAUAUAUUAUGGUCACAAUAUAAAGACAAAUUCAUUUUUAAAAAUAAUUACCUGAAACCUAUGAACAAUAAUAAUGUAUUUGACAAUGUCCCAUGUGGAGCAUAUCACAAAUAUCCUACCUACAUUUUAGAGACUACCCAACUUGCACAUGGCCAUUUAGGAAGCUAAUGGUGGGAUUAAGGAUUGAAUUUGGAGAAUGUUGAGGUUGUUUGCUGUCUUCCUGAGAACCCUUGCCCACGUGCCUAUGGUAGGCAGACUGCUGGCAUCACUAUUUCAUGGCCUGUGUACCAUUUGGGGGAAGAGGAGAUGGACACUGCGAGGGCGAGUCAGCCAGGGCAGCCUCCCCCAGGCAGCUCUCCCUGCUCCCACUGGAAAUGGGAAAGCAGGGUGAGUCAUAGGUCAGAUGGCCUCCUGAAUCUUGGUUUCCAGCUUGUUUAAGUUUGUAAGUUCAGAACAACUGUUCAGCUUUGUUCUUACUUUGUUUGUGUUACACUGGGAUCCAGUCAUCCAUUGGCACAGAGGCACAGUUUCCACUUUGAUACAAUCUGUGUCAGCCUGGCAGUUAAUUUAUUUAGCAGCAUCUUAAAUUUUUUUUUUUUCAUAAAAUCCAGCUCCUGCAGGAUAUUUAUCAGCAUCUUUGCAAGACAGGAUGAAUUCAAAAUAAAGUAUAGGAGAAGAAACAUUCAGGUAUGAGCAGUGGAGGGAUGCAUAAUUAUAUUGUUCCAUCUUACCAGGCCGGGGGUUUGAUGUGACACAAGGAUGCUAUCAAAGUAGUCAAUAUUAGCAAAAAGAGAUGGCUGUUUUGGAGAUGUGCUGCUCCAAAUGACCAGAAGGACCUAUAGCCUCCUCUAGAUUCACACACAACCCUAGUGAACUUAUGCUGCCCCUUCCAGGUGAAACUCAAAUGCUAAUGGGGGCAGUUGGUAGGAUAGGACAUACGAGGUGGGGAGGCAGAGAGGGAAGGUUAUUUUCCAGUGCUCAUCUGAGUGGGAACUGAUAAGGGACUCCAUGGGGAAAAUGAAGAAAUGCUUUGUAUAUUCCCCUGAACUCUAGUUAGGCCUAACCUGCUAAAAGCCAGACUUCGUUUCUGAUAACGGGCUGUACCUUCAUGCCCUUGUAGGUGUAAUGGACAUAAUGAGAGGUUAGAGACUUUGUCCUGAAUUUUUACAUGCUGAUGUAAGCAUGGGAACCAAGACUUUUUGGCCAACAUGGACCCGAAGAUCCAUGGAGGGGAGCCAGCUUGGUAUUGCUGAGUGCUUGCUAUGUACUGGCAUUGCUGAGCGCCUGCUGUUUGCUGCCCUUACAUCGUGCUGUGGAGGCAUGGAAAACAGUCUGCCUUCUGGGGCAGGAGAGGGCUGCACUUCUGGGAAGUCUGGAACCUGGGCAAAGCUUCACCAAAUGCAUCCUCUGCAGUUCCCUGGGUCCCAAGAUGGAGGCUUGCUCUGUCACCAGACUGGAGUGCAGUGACACGAUCUCCGCUCACUGCAACCUCUGCCUCCUGGGUUCAAGAGGUUCUCCUUCCUCAGCCUCCCAAGAUUGUGGUGAGGAGCAAAUGAAUCAACGCAUGGGCAAGGGAUGGUCGCAUCUGUGAAAGGAAAUUCAAUCUCGGGACCCCAAAAUCCUACACCAAAGAGAAAAGUCAAGCUGGGAACUGCAUCAGGCAAACCUGCCUCCCAUUUAAUUGCUAAAUAAGAUAGCUAUAAAGAUUUUUUAAAAAAGAAAACAACUACAUAUCUCCGUCACAAUUUGCCUGCAAGAAAAUUUUUGUGGGCCUCAAGAUCUUUACCCUAAAAUGGUUUUGUUGAAUUUCACCUUGGAAAUGUAAGUUGAUAGCUGAUCUUCACAGCUGCGGGACAAAGGACAGAACUCAAAGUCAUCCCUCUGCUCACCUGAGACAAAUGCAUAUCUGAUUGCUUUCUCUGCCUUACUGUUUAUGCAAAACUGCAGAUUCACUAAGGCUAAGUGACCAUUCCUCUACCCACUCCUCACAUGUAAAUCGUGUAUUCAGUGAAAGGCUGAUCAAAGACUCGAAAGACUGCAACCAUUUGUCUCUUACCUACCUGUGACCUGGAAGCCCCCGUUCCCGUGCUUUGAGUUGUCCUGCCUUUCCAGACCAAACCAAUGUACCUCUUACACAUAUUGAUUGAUGUCUCAUGUCUGUCUAAAUGCAUAAAAUCAAGCUGUGACCCAACCACCAGGGCACACAUUGUCAGGCCCUCCUGAGGCUGCGUCACGGGUGUGUCCUUAACCUUGGGAAAAUAAA